GUUCUGGUGUGCUAUUAUUGAAUAGUAGAUAAUAAUAACUUAUUGUACAUAAAAGGAUUAGAUAAAAAGAGUUUUAAAGUUUUCACUAUAUAGAAAUGAUAAAUGUUUCAUGAGACAAAUCUGCUUAACUUGAUUUAAACAUUAUGCAAUAUAUACAUUUAUUGAAACAUAACAUGGCACCUCAUUAAUAUGUAUGAUUUUUGUGUUAGUUAAAAAAUAAAUUUAAAAAAUAAAAUAAAAUCCAAGGAAAACAUGGCAGGGGAAAAAAUUAAUUUAGGGCAGUAUCAUGCACAAAAAAAAUGUAAAAAAUUAUAAACAAACAGAGUAUUAGCUAAUGAAAUCCAGACUUGUUACAACUAAUUGGGAAUAAAUAGAGUGUCUUUUAGAUCUCAGCUCAAGCCACACUCUUCUGAGAGGCAUUUCCUGGCCCUUCCUCCCUUUUCUCACUCUUACCCAUAUCGUUUAUUUCUAGCAUGUAUCAUUAGCUUAAAUUCUCCUUUACUUACCUGCUUAUUGUCUGUGUCUCCCACUGGAACAUAAGCACCAUAAGAGCAGAAAUGCUGAUUUACCUUAAAGUUACUUUACUCGUUAACAUAAAACUCAGGCUAUUUGCCACUUUCAUCUUGUCCUAUUAUUAAGGGUUAAAGUUGCCCACUAGUAGGGGAGAUUUUGUGGGGAGGCGAUUUCUGUGUAGCCCCAACCAAGCGUGGAGUUGGCAGUGUCUUACCAGAGAUUGGAAUCUUAUGCGAUUCAUCAAAACUGUGCAGAGGAGCUGCUUUGGGCCUAAUGGGUGGAUUCCUGAAGGUAAUCUUUGCUGUUGGGGGGAUCAAUCCUCGUUCUAUCAUGUUUAAAAUCCCUAAGAAAGAAGAUUAACAGAAUUUGAGGUUAAUUAAGUCAUUUCACCAAGUGUGAUCUCUAUAAACUUCACAAGUGUAACUUACCAUUCGUCAUCUUAUUUGUAAGGGUACAGCUAGUGCCUUAAUCCUUUGCAUAAAAAAAUAUAGCUAGUAAGCGUUCAUUUAAGCUUAAUAUUCUAACCCAAGGAAAAUGUCAUUUCCAGUAGCAGUAAUAUGAAAUAAAAUUGCACGAAGGUAAUUUCAUUUUAAGGUAGAAAUAUAAUUUCACAGCAAACUAAAACUUCUUGUACUUAUGACAUUCUCAAUCAUUGGUAAUAUUGUUGCUCUUUUUAAAAUUCAGAGAAAUUGGGCACACAUUCUUAAUAACUAAGGAGAUUCUUUGUUUGGAAAGAAAGAAAAGAAAACCUGUAUGCUUGAAACCAUGCCCCUGUUGUUAAAAUCAGUCAUACUUUAUCAAAGAAGGAGUUAUCUCCAGACAUUUCUCAUUUCACCAGAAGAUAUGAAUGCUCCAAUGGGUUAUUUCAGUGUAACUGAGCAACCCCGUUAGUAUUAAUGCAACUAAUUUACAAUUCCUAGAACCCAUACUGUGUCAGCAAGGCUGGAGCCAAGCCUUUUUAAGGACAAGAGACAUUGUUAAAUAAGUAAGCAAAUGAAUAAAUCAAUGAAUAUAUGAAUAAUUGAACAAAGCCUGCUGCUGGGGGCAGAACUUUCAUUAAGGUAGAUCUAUUGUAUCGAAGCCAGAAACCCAGAAACUUGGGGACUAUUUGUAAUGAAUUUGUGGUAGGAUUUCAGUUUCUCACUGUUCUAUUACAUAAUAGAAAGGAAAAUUAGGAAUUCUGGAUCUCAACAAAUUCCUAGUAUACAAAUGGUAUACCAAGCUGGAUUAGUUGAAGGAGUUGUCACUCAUUCUAAGUAUUAUUUCCAUUUGCUUUAAGACCUCUGUGACUAUAUUUUUUUGCUUUUAAAGAUGUUAGUUUUGUGUUUCAGGAAUUCAGAAGAAUCAUCACAGAAGGGUUGGAGAGCUGAUGAGGACAUUGCUUAUCAAACAAUGAUUCCAGAGAGAAAUCUCCAGUUUACCUAGAGCAGUUCACUUGGAGGAAGAUUUUCGUACUGAAAGUGAAAAUUCCUGGGCCCCAUUUCAGAGUCGUCCUAAAGCUUGAGGUCAGGGCCUGGGGAUCUGCAUUAUUGGAGCCUCUAGGAAGUACUUAGGAACACCGAAGUUUGAGAACCACCAGAAUUGGGGCCCAGUAACAUAUGUGUUAAAUAAACACUCCAGGUCGAUCUUUCCUACUUCAAACUUAAGAACUACUGAUCCAGUGUACAACUCUUUAAACCCUCUUUUAAAGUAGUAAAAAGGUUUUAAUUUUUAUAACACUAGAACUGGUUGUAAUAUGUUCUUUAAAAUAGCAAUGAGGUAGGAUGGGAGACAUAAGGAGAGGCAAAAAGGGGAUCUGCAGGACAACACAAGAGUGCUAUGAUUUAAAGUCCACUUUCACUGGAUUAAAAGUCCAGAUUUAAUGGUCACUUUCACUUAUCUUGAUCACAAACAACCUAUUUAAUCAUUGAUGAGACCUCAUCCACAGGUACACCAAGAGAGUACUGUUCAAAGUCACAAAACAGAAUGCAUCAAAAACAAAAGAACCCCUAGUCAGUCAUGGUGAACAUGUCCAGUUACCAACACAAAGGGGAACUAAAAAUACCCUCUUCAGUCUGUACUAUAGAUUUUACGUGUAUGAAUUUGCCUCGCUAAGAUCGAGCUAGCAUUUCCCUUCCUAAUGCUGGCACUCCACCCUGUGUAGUGAUACUCUCACAGAGUGUAUUUCUCUCAAUAAAAUAAGUGUGUGCCUUUCUUUGAGCUGUUCCUGGAUUCCUUUCUGCAAGGACGUCAAGGAGCUUCAUGGCCUGAGUCAAGGUCCACCUCCCUUGGAGGAAACCUCCUCAGGCCCCCUGUCCCAGUGACAGCAACAUUAAUUGUUUGUCUUCACAAAUAUUUCCCACCUGUAAAUACCCAAUCUCUGCCUAAGAACUAUGCCUGUUUUGCAGAGGUGAGAAACAGAGCUCCUUAAAAAUCAUUAUACUUUAAAGAGUCAGUUUCAUUCUCUGAGAAUUUUGAAGAAUAUAAGUAUGAUUUUAAUCUUUGCCUUGGUACUGGGUGAAGCAAUUUAUUUAAUUUUAGACAAAUAUGUAUAAAUUCAUAACUGGAAGGAAGAAGUUAAGACUCUGAUAUAAGCAAAAGAGAUUAGGGGAUUUUUUUAAUGGAGACAUUGGAACUCUGAAGAUUACCUGAUGCUAUAGUGUUGUACUUUUGUUUAAACUGUCUAUAAUUCUGUAAAGAUGAAGGUUUAAAGUGUAGAUAUAUGAUAGCAAUGAAAAUAAUUUCUGUCUAUACACAUGUGAGUAAGUUCUGUCACAUGGAGGACAACUCUUCCAUCUGAGAAGCCAGUUUUGCAUCCAUUUGCAAAUUUAUUUCAAUAUUCUUGAUUUGUAAAUAUGUCUUAUUUGUAUAUUGUGAAUCAACUGUAACAUCUUACUAGUUGUCUCAUUUAAUUAAUGAGUUAAAUAUAGUUUUUGAAAUGUUCAAUUUAUGUAAGAGUCAUGACUUCACUUUUUAAAAAAAAAUCAUCCUUUAACAGGUUUGGAGGAUCCACUAAGAUAAGCCAAGAGUCACCAGAAGUCAUCAGAAAUGGUGUCACAGACACCAGCCCAGACACAUUUUUUUUUUCCUUGUCUCCCACAGGUGAAUUCAAAGUGGUGAUAGAACUUUGUUGAAAUUUGUUUUUCUAACUUUAAUUCUAUUCUCUAUUAUUUUGCUUUUCUUUUUGUUUCAUUUACAAAUGAGGAGUUAUUUCCUGUUGGUAGCUGCAGUGAUUGGAAAUUUGGAAAUCUCUGUAAAUGGAUUAAUGUAUUCUAGAGAUCUAUUUCCCUGCUGGGUGAAAAGCGAUAGAGAAUAGAUUUGGUUAGUGUUCAUCUAUUGUGAGUUAAAAUCAGUUAGGAAUAUAUGCCCAGGAGGAAGGAAAACAACUUUGAUACUGUAAUUCUGUAGUGUUCAGUUUUUGUAUUUGUGUUUACUUUUCAGCUGUGGCUGAAAUUGAAGAAUUUCAGGUGUACACGCCCUGGAUCUAUACGUGUGUGUAUGUGUCACUCAGAAAGCCCGUUACCCCUCAUUGUUAAUGUAGGAGGUUUUCUUAUUUCCAGAAAGCAUUCUUAAAUUAGAGCAUAAAAGCCUUAAAAGGAGCUCUGUUUUGACUGGCUUAUAGAGAUAAAUAAGGACAUACAAUAAAUUAAAUAUUCUUCAAAUUAUCAGAAAAUUAAACUUGUAAUUCUUUGAGCUCUCCCUGCCUCCCUCAAUUAGAAACUCUCAUUGAAUCUCCUUGCUUUUCAUGGCAACAGAGUAAUCUGCAUAGUUCCAAUAAGGAUCUGUUCUCCUUUUACAAAGAUAUAAAUGGAAAAAUCACUUAUGCAACCAAGGCCUUGCAUGGAAUAUUUGAGAAUGAUUUUUAUUUAAUCAUAAUGACGAGUCACUUAUAAAGGACUGAGGUUGACUUUCUGGUGCCAGUGUUAACAAAGUCCUCCCAGAAAAACUAGCGUGGUACACGGCUAAUAGGAUUUCCAUCGUGGUAAGGAAGGCCACAUCCUGCAAGCCCAAGAAGCUUGGGAUAUUUGAAACAGCUCUAAAUAGAAGACCCAAAUUUAUAGGUCCUUCAGUUGGAAUCUGGAGAACAAAAUUUCUUGGCCUUGACUUACCAACCUUAGGAUAGCAAAUAAUAAAUGAUUUUAGAAGUUCAGUCUGAGAUUCCUUAUGAAAGCUUUCAGCAAAAUAAGCUUUAGGUGUCCUAAACAGUAAUUUAACAUUCUUGCUUCCUCAGUGCAAAUAACCCAGCCAAACCUAACGAGACCAGCCUUAUUUUGUGAAUAAUUUUGUUUGAGAUAAUUUGAAAGAAAGAAGUAAAGAUGAUAAACAAGUUUUCUUUUUAAGUCUUGAAAUAAUCAAGAGAGAUACUGGAUGUACAACUAUAAUGAGAUAUCACAAUGUACAACUAUAAUGCACCAAUAAAAAAUGUGGGGAAAAAUAAUAUUAUUAAAAAAAAAGAAAAAUAUUGAAUACAUUUCAAUGGAAUGCUGGUAUCUCCAGCAAUUGUCUGAACUUUGGUAUUGACUAGGCUAUUUUACAACUCUGUAGAUACUAAGGUUAAUUUGAAAAACAAACAAACAAACAAAAAGUGAACAAUAAUGCAAAUAAAUCUUAUCUACAUUCAUGAAAAUAAAAAUCUUUGGUGAAGGAUUCUCUCUCACAGAAAAGCCAAUUUUGCAUCUAUAUGCAAAUUUAUUUCAAUAUUCUUGAUCUACAAAUGUGUCUGUUCUUUGAAUUCUCCUUUGAACCAAUUGUGACUUUUAUAGAUUUCCUCUUUUAAUUGAUGAGUUAAAUAAAAUCUCUGAUAUAUGUUUAUUUUUAUUUGGGA
This 5317-nucleotide long non-coding RNA is filed under the name Marmota monax (woodchuck). The record is from RNAcentral. Lineage: Eukaryota; Metazoa; Chordata; Mammalia; Rodentia; Sciuridae.